CUAUGCAUAAUCUUACUAAUGCAGUUGUCAAAAUCAGUGAAAUGAAGGUUUUUAUAUUGACAACCUCUUCUUUCUUCCAGGGAUUGACUGAACAUUGGAAAAACCUGAUAACCAAAUUAACUAAUCCCUAUAAUGCUAUUACCCUGGCCCUACUGUUUAUAACGGUGAUAAUUUUUUCUUGUGUUUUGAGACACUAUAUGUAACCACGUAAAUGCCACUGAACGAAAAACAUCAAUGCUGGCUGAAGUCCUUGCAGCAGAGUCAGAGGGGGCAGUGGUAGGAACAAGUGCAUGGAGUACUGCAUACAUAUCAUACAUUAAGAGCAUCUGAGUGGCAGGCCACUCCCCUGAUGCUAAGCAGGUGAGCAGCAGGCCUUUUACCCCAUAGGCACAGCUCUGGGCAUGAGGCCCUGUGUUGCAGUCCUUGCACUUGCUCCAUGGCCCACUCCUCAAUUGGUCACUACAAGGACAGUUGGCCAGAAAUUGCAUUAGUGGCUGCCUGUGAUCUGCUUAGCUACUGUCUGAGUAUGUAUAUAUGGUGACUGCACAAUAAAAUCAGACCUGCUUCCUGCUUGGUCUCCGGAGGUCUCGAUUAGCUACUCCGCAGCCACACUCUCCUCUACCAUGUUCCAUGGACCUCCUUGCUGAGAGAGAGCCCAUGCAGUCAUCUAUGGAUUGAGACCUCUGAAACCAUGAACACCAAAGGAACUUUUUCUCCUCUAAGUUGUUUUUUGUCAGGUGUUUUGGUCACAGCAAUAAAAAAGCUGACUAAAAGAA
RNAcentral lists this long non-coding RNA (776 nucleotides) under Marmota monax (woodchuck). The record is from RNAcentral. Lineage: Eukaryota; Metazoa; Chordata; Mammalia; Rodentia; Sciuridae.